UACGUAGGGUGCAAGCGUUGUCCGGAAUUAUUGGGCGUAAAGAGCUCGUAGGCGGUCAGUCGCGUCUGCUGUGAAAACUCGGGGCUUAACUCCGGGCCUGCAGUGGGUACGGGCUGACUAGAGUGCGGUAGGGGAGACUGGAAUUCCUGGUGUAGCGGUGAAAUGCGCAGAUAUCAGGAGGAACACCGGUGGCGAAGGCGGGUCUCUGGGCAGUUCCUGACACUGAGGCACGAAGGCCAGGGGAGCAAACGGG
Molecule: ribosomal RNA, 253 nt
Filed under: uncultured bacterium
Lineage: Bacteria
Description: partial 16S ribosomal RNA
Rfam family: Bacterial small subunit ribosomal RNA
Source: RNAcentral